CAGUGGGGAAUAUUGCACAAUGGGCGCAAGCCUGAUGCAGCCAUGCCGCGUGUAUGAAGAAGGCCUUCGGGUUGUAAAGUACUUUCAGCAGUGAGGAAGCGGGUACGUUAAUAGCGUUGCUCGGUUUGACGUUAGCUGCAGAAGAAGCACCGGCUAACUCCGUGCCAGCAGCCGCGGUAAUACGGAGGGUGCGAGCGUUAAUCGGAAUUACUGGGCGUAAAGCGCAUGCAGGUGGUUUGUUAAGUCAGAUGUGAAAGCCCGGGGCUCAACCUCGGAAUUGCAUUUGAAACUGGCAGACUAGAGUACUGUAGAGGGGGUAGAAUUUCAGGUGUAGCGGUGAAAAUGCGUAGAGAUCUGAAGGAAUACCGGUGGCGAAGGCGGCCCCCUGGACAGAUACUGACACUCAGAUGCGAAAGCGUGGGGAGCAAACAGGAUUAGAUACCCUGGUAG
RNAcentral lists this ribosomal RNA (450 nucleotides) under uncultured bacterium. RNAcentral describes it as "bacterial SSU rRNA". It matches the Rfam family "Bacterial small subunit ribosomal RNA", at positions 352 to 793 of the family's 1533-position model. The record is from RNAcentral.